GUGGGGAAUUUUGGACAAUGGGCGCAAGCCUGAUCCAGCAAUGCCGCGUGCAGGAAGAAGGCCUUCGGGUUGUAAACUGCUUUUGUACGGAACGAAACGGCUCUGGUUAAUACCUGGGGCUAAUGACGGUACCGUAAGAAUAAGCACCGGCUAACUACGUGCCAGCAGCCGCGGUAAUACGUAGGGUGCAAGCGUUAAUCGGAAUUACUGGGCGUAAAGCGUGCGCAGGCGGUUGUGCAAGACAGAUGUGAAAUCCCCGGGCUUAACCUGGGAAUGGCAUUUGUGACUGCACGGCUAGAGUGUGUCAGAGGGGGGUAGAAUUCCACGUGUAGCAGUGAAAUGCGUAGAUAUGCGGAGGAACACCGAUGGCGAAGGCAAUCCCCUGGGCCUGCACUGACGCUCAUGCACGAAAGCGUGGGGAGCAAACAGGAUUAGAAACCCGGGUAGUCC
This 450-nucleotide ribosomal RNA is filed under the name uncultured bacterium. Its description in RNAcentral is "bacterial SSU rRNA". It matches the Rfam family "Bacterial small subunit ribosomal RNA", at positions 354 to 796 of the family's 1533-position model. The record is from RNAcentral.